Gymnodraco acuticeps is the source of this 189-nucleotide long non-coding RNA. RefSeq lists it as uncharacterized. The record is from RefSeq and is a predicted model, not a curated record. The transcript has 3 exons. NCBI's taxonomy places the organism in Eukaryota, Metazoa, Chordata, Actinopteri, Perciformes, Bathydraconidae.
GAUGAAUUACCCUGCCAUUCCAGCUCAGCGCUUUAUUGACCUGGACGCCAUCACAAGCCAAUGUGAGAUCCUGUGUGCUGGAAAUCCUAAUGUGUUAUUGAAAUACUAGCUCAGGAUACUCUGAGUCAGCUAAGGCCAAUAGUAUUGGAACGAAUAUGCUCUGUACUUGGAGCCUACCUUAAUUCACCC